RNAcentral lists this ribosomal RNA (437 nucleotides) under uncultured bacterium. Its description in RNAcentral is "bacterial SSU rRNA". It matches the Rfam family "Bacterial small subunit ribosomal RNA", at positions 28 to 479 of the family's 1533-position model. The record is from RNAcentral.
GACGAACGCUGGCGGCGUGCUUAACACAUGCAAGUCGAACGGAAAGGCCCUGCUUGCAGGGUACUCGAGUGGCGAACAGGUGAGUAACACGUGGGUGAUCUGCCCUGCACUUCGGGAUAAGCCUGGGAAACUGGGUCUAGUACCGGAUAGGAGCCAUUUUUAGUGUGAUGGUUGGAAAGUUUUUUCGGUGUAGGAUGAGCUCGCGGCCUAUCAGCUUGUUGGUGGGGUAAUGGCCUACCAAGGCGGCGACGGGUAGCCGGCCUGAGAGGGUGGACGGCCACAUUGGGACUGAGAUACGGCCCAGACUCCUACGGGAGGCAGCAGUGGGGAAUAUUGCACAAUGGGCGCAAGCCUGAUGCAGCGACGCCGCGUGGGGGAUGACGGCCUUCGGGUUGUAAACUCCUUUCGCUAGGGACGAAGCUUUUUGUGACGGUACC